Drosophila sulfurigaster albostrigata is the source of this 1065-nucleotide long non-coding RNA. RefSeq lists it as uncharacterized. The record is from RefSeq and is a predicted model, not a curated record. The transcript is spliced from 2 exons. Lineage: Eukaryota; Metazoa; Arthropoda; Insecta; Diptera; Drosophilidae.
CGGCUUCGUUUGUUGAAUGCACAAAUUUAUAACUAAGUAUUUUUAUUUGGUUUUGUUUCGACUGCAGCGCGGCGUCGUCGUCGUCAUCGGAUUCAGGCAAUUCUCACAGUUGCCUUUUUUUUGUGUCUUUGUCUACCUGUUGGCAUUGCAGGAAGCAUUCACCUUCUCCAGCCAGCCAGACAGACAGACGGACGAGGAGACAGCACGCAGCCAGACAAUGACGAUAAUGACAUAAAAAACAAAGUAAAACAAACGGCACAGACAACAACAACAGUCCGUCUGUCAGUUUGCCAGUCUAUCAGUCAGUCAGUCAGUCAAACACAAAAAAAAGGAACACUCUGUUCCACACACACAUGUGUUUUGUUUCAUGUCUCAGUCGCAGUCUGAGUUUCGGUGUCUGCCACUGGCACUUGACGUGGUCGCCGCCUCAAGCCCCAACCACAGCUCCAACUGAGUCUGAGUCUGCCUCCGUCUCCAUCUCCAACUGGAUUCAAACCGCGGACUCAUCAUCGGCCUGCGGCUUUUGUGCUGGGUUAAUUACUAAGCGAGUCACACGCGCUUGAAUAAUUCAAGGCUAUCGCAUGCAGUUCUCGAUGUUCAUUUCUAUUGCACAGCUGCAACUUUGCAACUUGCCACUUUUUUCUCUCUUUUUCUUUUAUUUUUGCAGUACUUAUUAUAAAGCCAAACAUCAUUCGCGCUGUGUUCGCUGUAACAUAAUCUGGCUGAAAUCGUCGAGGGAAUUAGGAUUGCAGUUGCGUUUCUCGCUGGCAUUUUACUACGCAGCUUGGCACUGCAAUGACUAAGUAUCUUAUAAUGAAGUGCAUAUUAGCAGCUGCUGUAGGUAGCAGCUAUAAAAGCGUCGCGACGUUUUCUUUUCGGGGUGGAGUCUUAUCCAGCGUAAUUGAUAUGGAAUUUGAAAUGCAUACGAAGAUCAUUAGACAACAAUGAAAUAUCAUAUCGAGUUUAACGACGUCUUAAGGUGGCAUUAACGAUUGUCAUAAUAGAGAAAUUAAUUUAAGACAGUCUAAUUGCAUUACUAUAAUGUUUAAAUUAUGUUUAAAAAUA